Molecule: unclassified non-coding RNA, 253 nt
Filed under: uncultured Sordariales
Lineage: Eukaryota; Fungi; Ascomycota; Sordariomycetes; Sordariales
Description: sequence contains 5.8S rRNA gene, ITS2, 28S rRNA gene
Rfam family: 5.8S ribosomal RNA (bases 1-52)
Source: RNAcentral
AACGCACAUUGCGCCCGCCAGUAUUCUGGCGGGCAUGCCUGUUCGAGCGUCAUUUCAACCAUCAAGCCCCAGGCUUGUGUUGGGGACCUGCGGCUGCCGCAGGCCCUGAAAUCCAGUGGCGGGUUCGCUGUCACCCCGAGCGUAGUAGCAAUAUCUCGCUCAGGGCGUGCUGCGGGCGCCGGCCGUUAAAAGCUGCCUUCUGGCAACACCCAAGGUUGACCUCGGAUCAGGUAGGAAGACCCGCUGAACUUAA